Molecule: ribosomal RNA, 312 nt
Filed under: Triticum aestivum (bread wheat)
Lineage: Eukaryota; Viridiplantae; Streptophyta; Magnoliopsida; Poales; Poaceae
Description: partial small subunit ribosomal RNA
Source: RNAcentral
AUGGCCAAGAUCCGAGAGAGGAAGACGAGGGAUAUUGGCCAAGUCAAAUGCAUCAAGGACGGAGCGGGCCAACUCUUGGUGAAGGACGAGGAGAUUAAGCAUAGAUGGCGGGAGUACUUCGACAAGCUGUUCAAUGGGGAGAAUGAGAGUUCUACCAUUGAACUGGACGACUCCUUUGAUGAGACCAGCAUGCGUUUUGUGCGGCGAAUUCAGGAGUCUGAGGUCAAGGAGGCUUUAAAAAUGAUGAAAGGAGGCAAGGCGAUGGGCCCUGAUUGUAUCCCAUUGAGGUGUGGAAAGGUCUCGGGGACAUAG